This 71-nucleotide transfer RNA is filed under the name Esteya vermicola. RNAcentral describes it as "tRNA-Met". It matches the Rfam family "tRNA". From Rfam's summary of the family: Transfer RNA (tRNA) molecules are approximately 80 nucleotides in length. The record is from RNAcentral. Lineage: Eukaryota; Fungi; Ascomycota; Sordariomycetes; Ophiostomatales; Ophiostomataceae.
GCUUGAAUAGUUUAAAGGUAAAACCUUAUUUUCAUGCGAUAAAGAUGGGUAUUCGAUUUUCCCUUCAGGCU